CAGAGAAUAGUUUAAUUGAAGAAUUGUAGCUUUGGGAGUUAUUGGUGCAAAUAUGGUAGUUUUGCUUCUCUGA
Molecule: transfer RNA, 73 nt
Filed under: Luidia sp. 2-EK-2003
Lineage: Eukaryota; Metazoa; Echinodermata; Asteroidea; Paxillosida; Luidiidae
Description: tRNA-Pro
Source: RNAcentral